UGGGCGCAAGCCUGAUGCAGCGACGCCGCGUGAGGGAUGACGGCCUUCGGGUGUAAACCUCUUUCAACGCCGACGAAGCGUAAGUGACGGUAGGCGUAGAAGAAGCACCGGCCAACUACGUGCCAGCAGCCGCGGUAAUACGGUAGGGUGCGAGCGUUGUCCGGAAUUACUGGGCGUAAAGAGCUCGUAGGUGGUUUGUCGCGUUGUCCGUGAAAACUCACAACUCAAUUGUGGGCGUGCGGGCGAUACGGGCAGACUGGAGUACUGCAGGGGGAGACUGGAAUUCCUGGUGUAGCGGUGGAAUGCGCAGAUAUCAGGAGGAACACCGGUGGCGAAGGCGGGUCUCUGGGCAGUAACUGACGCUGAGGAGCGAAAGCGUGGGGAGCGAACAGGAUUAGAUACCCUGGUAGUCCACGCCGUAAACGGUGGGUACUAGGUGUGGGUUUCCUUCCUUGGGAUCCGUGCCGUAGCUAACGCAUUAAGUACCCCGCCUGGGGAGUACGGCCGCAAGGCUA
RNAcentral lists this ribosomal RNA (515 nucleotides) under uncultured Actinomycetes bacterium. RNAcentral's name for it is "bacterial SSU rRNA". It matches the Rfam family "Bacterial small subunit ribosomal RNA", at positions 372 to 896 of the family's 1533-position model. Lineage: Bacteria; Bacillati; Actinomycetota; Actinomycetes. The record is from RNAcentral.